GUGAGGAAUUUUCCGCAAUGGGCGAAAGCCUGACGGAGCAAUGCCGCGUGAAGGAUGAAGGCCUAUGGGUUGUAAACUUCUUUUCUCAGAAAAGAAUUAUGACGGUAUCUGAGGAAUAAGCAUCGGCUAACUCUGUGCCAGCAGCCGCGGUAAGACAGAGGAUGCAAGCGUUAUCCGGAAUGAUUGGGCGUAAAGCGUCUGUAGGUUGUUUAAAAAGUAUUCUGUCAAAGAUUAGGGCUUAACCCUAGAUAGGCAGAAUAAACUUUUAAGCUAGAGUUUGGUAGAGGCAGAGGGAAUACCCGGUGGAGCGGUGAAAUGCGUAGAUAUCGGGAGGAACACCAAAGGCGAAGGCACUCUGCUGGGCCAAUACUAACACUGAGAGACGAAAGCGAGGGGAGCAAAUGGGAUUAGAAACCCUGGUAGUCC
Molecule: ribosomal RNA, 426 nt
Filed under: uncultured bacterium
Lineage: Bacteria
Description: bacterial SSU rRNA
Rfam family: Bacterial small subunit ribosomal RNA
Source: RNAcentral